UACGAAGGGGGCUAGCGUUGUUCGGAAUUACUGGGCGUAAAGCGCGUGUAGGCGGGCCGUUAAGUCGGGGGUGAAAGCCCAGAGCUCAACUCUGGAAUUGCCUUCGAUACUGGCGGCCUGGAGGAUGAUAGAGGCGAGUGGAAUUGCGAGUGUAGAGGUGAAAUUCGUAGAUAUUCGCAGGAACACCAGUGGCGAAGGCGACUCGCUGGAUCAUUGCUGACGCUGAGACGCGAAAACGUGGGGAGCAGACACG
This 253-nucleotide ribosomal RNA is filed under the name uncultured bacterium. RNAcentral describes it as "partial 16S ribosomal RNA". It matches the Rfam family "Bacterial small subunit ribosomal RNA", at positions 524 to 776 of the family's 1533-position model. The record is from RNAcentral.